Molecule: unclassified non-coding RNA, 1772 nt
Filed under: Harpegnathos saltator (Jerdon's jumping ant)
Lineage: Eukaryota; Metazoa; Arthropoda; Insecta; Hymenoptera; Formicidae
Description: sin3 histone deacetylase corepressor complex component SDS3, transcript variant X4
Source: RNAcentral
CAAUUAUGUCUCAUCAGGAUUCACCUCUCUGUACAAUGUACGAUCGCCAGGAUGAUUAUGAUCUCGAUGAAGAUAACGAGGAAUAUAUGGAGGAGGAUAGAGACGUCGAAGAUCCAGAUGAUAGUGAUGAAGAUACCGAAGAAGCUAGUGAAACUGACAUGGGAAAAUCAGAAGAAUAUACAGAAAUUAAAGAACAGAUGUAUCAAGACAAGUUAGCAGGCUUAAAGAAGCAAUUGCAACAGCUAAACGACGGUACACAUCCUGACUACAAUCGUAAAUUGAAACGACUGGAAACACAAUAUAGGGAACGGUUGAGUUUGAAUAUAAUUUACCGAGAUUACUUGACGGAAUGUGUUGAGCGGGACUAUAUAUUAGAAAAGAAAGCAGCAGUAAAAGAAUUUGAAGAAAAGAAAAUAGAUUUAAAGGAAAAUUUACUUACUGACAUGGAAGAGAAACGUAAAAUUAUUGAGUCUGACCGUCAUACAAUGGAACUUGCAGGUGAUUCAAUGGAGGUGAAACCAGUAAUGACAAGAAAAUUACGAAGACGUCCCAAUGAUCCAGUACCCGAAAAGGUAGAAAAACGACGAAAACCAGCUCCGGCAUCAUUAAAUUACUUAUUGGAUGAAAAAGAGAUAGAGAGCGAUUUAAAAACGAUCAGUCGGGGUAAAGUACUUACCACCGUUCGUAAGCCAGGUAUAUUUUUGCCAUUGGUUUUGCCACAUUAUAAUGCAGUAAAUAUACCAUCUCAACAUAUAUCACAAUCUUCUGAGACUCCAUUAGUAGAAACUCGGAUAGAAGAUGGAAAAUUGUUGUAUGAGCGGAGAUGGUAUCACCGUGGGCAACCUGUCUACGUCGAGGGCAAGGAUCUCGCAAAGUUCGCGGCACACAUUUCGGCAAUUGGCACCGAAGCGAUCUGGGUGAAAAAAGUUUCGGAUUCCAGCAAAGUACGCAUUUAUACGUCGCAGUUGAGUCGCGGGAAGAUUUCAAUCAAACGACGUGCGUCCUAAUUAAUUUCUCAAUCGCCAUUCUUCGUUAAACUUCUGACAAAGAGCGUUUGUUACUGACUGAAGCGGUAUCGUCUGGUAUCCAGUCGAUGAUUUUCACGCUGCUGCUCUUCUGCCACCAGUAGAACCAUGCUUUCUGGUGGUACUGUAUCGAUAUGUAAAUCCAGAUGAAGUACGAGAGAAUCAGAAACGCCAUCAUGGAAAGCAGGGAAUAAGUGGUCCAACGUGCGGGUGGAAAAUUGUCGUAAUUAUUCAUAGCGUAAAAGUCCGCCGCCACCACGCACAUACACAGCCAGAUUAUAAUGGACCGAAGGACUUUGUAACGAGGUGUCCGUUCCACCCGGAAUUCGUGGCCGCACAAUUCGCAACUGGUUCUGUUGCUCUCUUCUAGCCAUCGUUCCAAGCACUUUAGAUGGAUCGCGCCCAUUGUCCCCUAAUUGCCAUGUUGAAAUUAGCAAUUUAUCUUGUAAUCUUCUUUGUAAAGUUUUCCAAAUAUCUAUUUUAGCUAAAUGUAUGUGUAUAUUAAGUGUGAUGUUGAACUUUAUAAAUUCUGGCAAUGAUCAAAGUAUGUUGCAAGUCGACUAAAGAGAAAAGAUUGUAUCUAUUCUCAGGUCGUAAUAAAUUAGACGCAAGAAGUUUCUAAAAUAGAAACUGUAAAAGUUGUUUUAGUUUUCUUCAGUUUGUAAUGUUUAGCUGUCUACUUUUUAGGAACAUUGUACAAAUAAAUGUAAUAUUUUAAAACCGCAUACAAGCCACAAAUUGAUCAUU